Molecule: small nucleolar RNA, 90 nt
Filed under: Podarcis lilfordi (Lilford's wall lizard)
Lineage: Eukaryota; Metazoa; Chordata; Lepidosauria; Squamata; Lacertidae
Source: RNAcentral
AUACCCCAAUGAUGUCAGCACUGGGCUCCGAUCGCUGUGAUGAUUUGGGUGCCUUCUGGGGACUUGACACUCCAGAAGACUGAGGGGUUC